CUUCUGACGACCCUUUCAAGGUCUGGAGAUCAAUCACUAAUUGAAAGUCUUGCAACUCACUUGUCAAAACUCUGUUGAUUGACUUCUGGAGACUUCCUGUCUUUGAGGAGACUGUGUAAUGACUCUCGGACACUUCUUAUCUAUUCGGUGGCAGUGGAGAGACUCAUUGGACAUGUCUGGUCUAUUCAGUGACUUCCGAGCAACUGCCCAAUUAUUCUUUUUUUAUACUACUUGCUCUUCUCCCCCUUUUUUUAUUUUUCCUCUCCUUUUUGUUUUAUUGUCUUGUUUUUCUUCUCCCUUUUUACAUCACCUGUAUGCUGCUUAGUCCUCUCUCUAACUUUUUAUCUCUUGUUUGUUUACUCCAUUCA
RNAcentral lists this long non-coding RNA (368 nucleotides) under Androctonus crassicauda. Lineage: Eukaryota; Metazoa; Arthropoda; Arachnida; Scorpiones; Buthidae. The record is from RNAcentral.